Molecule: ribosomal RNA, 404 nt
Filed under: uncultured bacterium
Lineage: Bacteria
Description: bacterial SSU rRNA
Rfam family: Bacterial small subunit ribosomal RNA
Source: RNAcentral
UGAGUAAUAUGUCGGAACGUUACCUUCAGGUGGGGAUAACGUAGCGAAAGUUACGCUAAUACCGCAUAUUCUGAGAGCAGGAAAGCAGGGGAUCGCAAGACCUUGCGCUGAUUGAGCGGCCGAUAUCAGAUUAGCUAGUUGGUGAGGUAAAGGCUCACCAAGGCGACGAUCUGUAGCGGGUCUGAGAGGAUGAUCCGCCACACUGGAACUGAGACACGGUCCAGACUCCUACGGGAGGCAGCAGUGGGGAAUUUUGGACAAUGGGCGCAAGCCUGAUCCAGCCAUGCCGCGUGAGUGAAGAAGGCCUUCGGGUUGUAAAGCUCUUUCGGCCGGGAAGAAAUCGCACGGGUUAAUACCCUGUGUGGAUGACGGUACCGGAAUAAGAAGCACCGGCUAACUACGUG